CCUCCCCGGCGAGACAAUCCUCCAAAGCUCUCGUUCUGUUUGCCUCAAUGGUUUUGGUUGACUUGUUUGUGGUUCAAGGGUGGGGGAUAUGGCCGCGUCAGUGUUGUGUCAGCCCUGCGAGGGGAGAACUUAUCUUCUGGAGAAGGACAACGUUGAGGUGUUUCCUAAAAAUGUGAUGGCGAGAUAGCUGUCGUGUCCUUUGGAUAUGCAUCCCGGGACGGGACUUUCGCAGCUGGGAAUGCUUUGCUCCCGUUUUCCAUGUGAUUUAUUUGCAUCCCUGUGGUUUAUUUUGGCCUGAAGGGCCGCCAAUGGGUUGUGUGUUCGCAGAUCAAAUCGUGAUUCGGGGCAGAGCGGGAUGAACUUCGGGAGGGAGGAGAUGGGCCCUGGGGCAAGAGAGCGUGAAACGUUAAAUGUUAAAAAUUCUCUUCACAGGUCUGCCUCCCAAGCGACCAUUAACAUUCAGGUGAUGGCUUUGUAAUUUUGCUCAGAGAUCCUUCCGUGGGAAGGGCAGGAAUGGUGCUAAGCCUUAUUUAUGGAGCAGGAGAGAAGCGCAGAGCCGGGACCCGCCGGGGCCAUGCUCCCCCUGCUCCGGAGGAGGAACUCCGUCCCGGGCCGUGAUCCACCAGCACCACGCCAACAAAAUCCCACCACCACAGUGGGGACAAAACUUAGCUUGGGAGGCAGGUAAAUCACCACGGAAACCCACCCGAGCAGCGUUCCCAGCCUCGGCGUGUCAGGAAUUCUCCCUCGGGGCGGAGGUGCCCGCAGGUUUGCCGGGUACCCCCGCCCUUGCUCCAGUCAUUCCCAGCACUAGCACUGCUCUCGGCAGGAGCGCUUGGAUCUCAUGAGGCCAGCGCUGUAAUUAAUGAGAUUUGAGGCGCGAGCGCCGAGACAAAAUUCGAGUUUCCAAUAUCAGGAAUGAAGAUCCAGCCUUUGUUGCAAAAGGGGAUGAGGGAUGGCAGUACUUUAAAGCUUCUCAGUCCGACACUGGAAAGGAAUUCACAAUGUAUUUUUAGAGUGUUAUAAAAAUCUCUUACAUAAUGCUGAUUAAUUCUUCGGUUUUAGGGAAGAGCACUGGGCUUUGUGCACAAGAGUGUUGACCAGCUAAGCCACUGAAAAGGGCUGGUUUGGGCUAGAUUUUCCCCCCCCCCUUGAACUUUUUCUUGGGCAGAGAAAGCUGCAAUUGUUCAAUUAUUACAGGAUUUUGCUUUUUGUUUGGGCGUGUUAUGAAUAUUAUUCUGGAAACUGUGCCUUAUUCUUGGAAGUCUUUAUCAUUUUAAAACAUAUGUUAUGUUAUAUCACCCUGUCUGAGAUAUAGGAUAGCUCCAAACUGGGUGGUUGGUUGUUUUUUUUUCCCCCUCUCUCUUGCUGCAGCUAGUUAGAGUAUGGAUUAAUGUUAAGGAUAUCUGCAGUGAAACAUUGCUUGUGUGGCUGACUUAAAGAAUGUCACAUUACAGGAUCACAGCUUUAUUGAUACAGUAAUAUGUACAAUCACUUUGUAUUUCUGCCCGUUCUGUUGAUCCUCAAAAAUCAUUGAUUAGUCCAACUGGCAGGUUUCACACAGCCCUUAACAAAGGGCUAUUCAGGAAAUGAAGUCUGUAAGUGCUACUCCCUUAUUUUAAUUCCAGUUAUCUAUACUUAUUGCUGUGUAGCUGGGAAGAUUUUUUGGGCAAGAUAUCGUGGGAGAGAGAUGCUUUUGUUUAGUCUUUUUCAACAGAUACGUGACCGAGGCAGCUUUGAAGCCUUUUCUGAGGAAUCCUUCGUCCUUCUGUAGAAUGUUUAAUCUUCCUGUGGAGUGUCUAACUAUGAGACUCCUUCUGCAGACUUUCAUUCUUGUGCCAUACAGAUGAGCAGGGGUUGCUCAGGUGAUUGAACGAGUCCUAAAUCGUUGCUGGAGAAUGGAGAGAGCAGGAACGCAUAGGUCAAAACAAAAUCUUUAUUUGCCCCUCUUUUCCACCCGGGAGGAGGAAAAAAAAACAGGAGCCACAAUUCCCUCCUGUCUCUGCAGCAGGAGCCAGGGUGGUUUCACAGCCUCCUGUCACACAGUUCAUCCAUGAAGGGGCCAGAGACAGCACAAACACCAUCAGCUGGCAAGCAAAACUUGCUAAGAACAAACCUUCCACGGGUUUAUUGCUCUCGCUGGCUGUGCUGGGGCUGUUCACACACUGCACACGUGUGCAGUUCAGAAUGGGGAAAUUAUCUGCACGAGGCACCCAGUGCCACACGGUCUGAACCUUGCAAUGGAAAAAAACACACGUUUGUGUGUACUGGUUUCCUCCACGGCUUCUUUUCCUGGUGUUUUAUGUGGUUUCAGCCCUCCCUGGUGCUGUUUUCACUGCAGGGGCUGUCACAGCCUCUCUCACACAGACACUUGUGUGUGUGCCUUUGGUGCUCGUGCUGCCUCUCAUGAAGAAAAGUUCAAAUCCAGUCUUCCUCUUCUCCCCAGUCACAUAUUUUGACUUCUAGAAUGGGAAUUCAUACAUUUCUUGGUGAAAUGUGUUUGAUAAUUGGGGUAAAAUUGUGUCUACAAAUACAUAAACACCCUUAGUAUCUGAGAUCUCCCUAAUUUCAUUGGUUAGCUCGUUGUUUUAAGCCAUUUCAUGGAAAUUACAUUUUUCCAGACA
Passer montanus (Eurasian tree sparrow) is the source of this 2624-nucleotide RNA transcript. RefSeq lists it as uncharacterized. The record is from RefSeq and is a predicted model, not a curated record. The transcript is spliced from 2 exons. NCBI's taxonomy places the organism in Eukaryota, Metazoa, Chordata, Aves, Passeriformes, Passeridae.